AUGUCCACGAACACUUGGCGCCUAGUCACGGAGGAUGACGGAGUCGGCGAUCUCCAUGAGCGGCGCAAGGGUCUCGGGCGCGAACUUGCGCGCGAACAUGUGGGAGUAGGUCCCGUUGGACUUCCUGAGCUCCCUGAUGAGGUCCCCGGAGACCUCCUCCGGCUGGUAGGUGUGCGGGUGGCCGCCGACGGCGUCGGUCCAGUUGACCCUGGUGAGCGUGUACUUGGUGCAGCCGUCGGGGUCCUGCAUGUCGAGCAGCGUCGGGAAGUAGUGCUCCUCCGGGUAGCACGAGUCCUUCUCCUUGACGAGGCACGGCGCCUUGAACUUGUUCCAGAGCCGCCUGUCCCUGACCACCAUGACGGCGUGCCUCCUGGCGAGCACGAAGAACUGGGAGCCGACGCGGAAGCGGUCGAAGGGCACCUCCGGGAGCAUCACGUUGUCGCCGCGCGCGUAGUAGCGGGCGUGCAGCGUGGGCUCGCUGUCCAGGAUCUCGAUGAAGCUGCGGUGGCGGCGGUGGCGGCCGGCAUUGUUGUCGGUGAGGAGGGUGCGGUAGAGGGCGGGGAACGGGAGGAGCGGGACGCAGGACUGGGAGAGCAGCGCGAAGAAUUGGUUGGCCGGGUCGUCGAGCAGCGCGGUGGCGAGGAGGCGGCGCGCGGCGGAGAUGAGCGUGGCGGAGGCGCGCGCCGUGGCCUUGCCCCGGAUGAUGCGGCCGCGGAAGGAGGGGGUCGGCGGCAGCGUGAGGUUGGCGGCGGGGUCGGCGUGGACGUAGAGGUUGAGGAGGCCGUGGUGCCCCGCGAAGAACUUCUCCCAGAGCGGCGCGAAGACGAGGUCGGAGUUGGUGAGGAAGAGGAAGGCCACCUUGGGCCGCGCCUGCGGGCGGCGGCCGAAGACGCCGAAGGAGGAGGGCCGCGAGGUCCUCCGUCUCGUCGGCGUCCGGGAUGGCCGGGAGCGUCUUGGGCAUCAGCAGGCGCGGCGCCAGGUAGUACACCGCCGGCAUGGACAGCAGCAGCAGGAACGACAGCACGUACGGCGACGCGUACGCCAUGCCCGGCAGCGGCGCUCCGGCGAAAACGCGCGCUGGAGAAACCGAAAAGGAAAUCCCGGAUCUUGGCGCCGGGGAAGAAGGCCAAGACGAGGAUCACAGGGAGAUCCUGCUGCUCAGGACGGGCCGGACGGAUCUCGCGGGCAAGGACGAGCACCCCCCGGGCAUGGAUCGAGCAGGGAGGAAAGAUUUCACCAGCCGAGAGCGCUCGCGCACCUGGAGGAUCAAACGGCAGGCGGGCGGGAAGGACAGAGGCGAGCUCCGGUUCCGUGGCGCCAAAUCUGCUGCUGGUGGUGCUCGGAUCGGAUCUCGCGGUUCUGGCGGGACUGGGCUGCUCUUGA
This 1383-nucleotide ribosomal RNA is filed under the name Triticum aestivum (bread wheat). RNAcentral's name for it is "partial small subunit ribosomal RNA". The record is from RNAcentral. Lineage: Eukaryota; Viridiplantae; Streptophyta; Magnoliopsida; Poales; Poaceae.